UUGCGAACGGGUGAGUAACGCGUAGGUAACCUGCCUGGUAGCGGGGGAUAACUAUUGGAAACGAUAGCUAAUACCGCAUAAGAACAUUAUUGCAUGGAAUGUUUAAAAGGUGCAAAUGCAUCACUACCAGAUGGACCUGCGUUGUAUUAGCUAGUAGGUGAGGUAACGGCUCACCUAGGCGACGAUACAUAGCCGACCUGAGAGGGUGAUCGGCCACACUGGGACUGAGACACGGCCCAGACUCCUACGGGAGGCAGCAGUAGGGAAUCUUCGGCAAUGGGGGGAACCCUGACCGAGCAACGCCGCGUGAGUGAAGAAGGUUUUCGGAUCGUAAAGCUCUGUUGUUAAGGAAGAACGAGUGUGAGAAAUGGAAAAGUUCAUACUGUGACGGUA
This 393-nucleotide ribosomal RNA is filed under the name Streptococcus intermedius. RNAcentral's name for it is "bacterial SSU rRNA". It matches the Rfam family "Bacterial small subunit ribosomal RNA", at positions 96 to 477 of the family's 1533-position model. The record is from RNAcentral. Lineage: Bacteria; Bacillati; Bacillota; Bacilli; Lactobacillales; Streptococcaceae.